RNAcentral lists this ribosomal RNA (253 nucleotides) under uncultured bacterium. Its description in RNAcentral is "partial 16S ribosomal RNA". It matches the Rfam family "Bacterial small subunit ribosomal RNA", at positions 524 to 776 of the family's 1533-position model. The record is from RNAcentral.
UACGUAGGGGGCGAGCGUUGUCCGGAAUUAUUGGGCGUAAAGAGCGUGUAGGCGGUUCGGUAAGUCUGCUGUGAAAUCCUGGGGCUCAACCCCGGGCGUGCAGCGGAUACUGCCGGGCUAGAGGGUGGUAGAGGCGAGUGGAAUUCCGAGUGUAGCGGUGAAAUGCGCAGAUAUCGGGAGGAACACCAGUAGCGAAGGCGGCUCGCUGGGCCGUUCCUGACGCUGAGACGCGAAAGCUAGGGGAGCGAACAGG